RNAcentral lists this ribosomal RNA (468 nucleotides) under uncultured bacterium. Its description in RNAcentral is "partial 16S ribosomal RNA". It matches the Rfam family "Bacterial small subunit ribosomal RNA", at positions 28 to 507 of the family's 1533-position model. The record is from RNAcentral.
GACGAACGCUGGCGGCGUGCUUAACACAUGCAAGUCGAACGGUGAAAGAAGAGCUUGCUCUUCUGGACCAGUGGCGAACGGGGGAGUAACACGUGAGUAACCUCCCCCAGACUCUGGGAGAAGCCCUGGAGAAGCCGUAUAUUACCGGAGACGAGACAGAGCUGCAUGUCUACCGUCUGGAAAGUUCUUCGGUCUUGGAUGGACUCGCGGCCUACCAGCUUGUUUGGCAAGUAACGGUGCACCAAGGCAACGAAGGGUAGCCGGCCUGAGAGGGCGACCGGGCACACUGGGACUGAGAGACGGACCAGUAUCCUAUGGUCGGCAGCAGUCGGGAAUCUUACACAAUGGGGGCACGCCUGAUGCAGCGACGCUGCGUGAGGAAUGAUGGCCUUCGGGUUGUAAACCUCUGUCAGCAGAGAAGAAGCGAACUUGACGGUACCUGAAGAAGAAGCACCGGCUAACUACGUG